CAGUCGCCGCGGUAAAACGAAGGGUGCAAGCGUUACUCGGAAUUACUGGGCGUAAAGCGUGCGUAGGUGGUGGUUUAAGUCCGUUGUGAAAGCCCUGGGCUCAACCUGGGAAUUGCAGUGGAUACUGGGUCACUAGAGUGUGGUAGAGGAUAGUGGAAUUUCCGGUGUAGCAGUGAAAUGCGUAGAGAUCGGAAGGAACAUCUGUGGCGAAGGCGACUAUCUGGGCCAACACUGACACUGAGGCACGAAAGCGUGGGGAGCAAACAGGAUUAGAGACCCCUGUAGUCCCUGUCUCUUAUAC
Molecule: ribosomal RNA, 301 nt
Filed under: uncultured bacterium
Lineage: Bacteria
Description: partial 16S ribosomal RNA
Rfam family: Bacterial small subunit ribosomal RNA
Source: RNAcentral